GAUCUGGUGACCUAAGUAGUUAGAGUGUCUGCCUUGGAUGCAGGAGGUCAUGGGUUUGAACCCUACUUGAGUCA
Potamilus streckersoni is the source of this 74-nucleotide non-coding RNA. NCBI's taxonomy places the organism in Eukaryota, Metazoa, Mollusca, Bivalvia, Unionida, Unionidae. The record is from the annotation of a GenBank genome assembly.